RNAcentral lists this long non-coding RNA (917 nucleotides) under Trifolium pratense (red clover). RNAcentral describes it as "long non-coding RNA (TPRA_LNC006993)". The record is from RNAcentral. Lineage: Eukaryota; Viridiplantae; Streptophyta; Magnoliopsida; Fabales; Fabaceae.
ACAAAAAUUAGGGUUUCUGUGUCUUGUCGCAGUUUGAUUUGGGUAUUCUUCUCCGACCACCGCCGCACACAAGUUAGUUUUCUUCUGUAUCUGUUCCUUGUUCAAUUGCCUUUUUCGUUUUUGAUAUUUGUUACUGUUAAUCGUUGUGUUGUUCUGUUAGAAUGAUGUUUUCUGUUGAAAUUGUAGUGUUUAAAUUUAUGCUGUUGCAGUGAAUGUUUAUUAAGUCAUAUGUUGAAAAUACGAUUCAUAUAAUCAGUAAUUCGGAAAUUGGUCAGAUCAAUGUGUUUUUCUCUCCUGUGACCUAUGGAUGCUGAUUUAAAGUUUUUUUUUUAGUCCAAAAUUCUUCACCUGUGUUGUAUUCGUUGUUUUUUGGUCAUUUUGUUUUUGUCUGUUAUACUUGUUUUUUGGACAUGAUAUUGAUCAUAGUAUUACAUUAAUGAUUUGUAGGAACAAUUUUUUAAAAUGUUUUUGAAGUUUGUUUCAAAUAUUUUGAAAGUAUAUUUAUAAAUCAUCAAUCAUGAUUUAUAUGUUUGUAUAUUGAACUUCGAUUAAACCUUCUAUUGUGCUGUGAUUUGAAUUGCUUUAAGGACUAAAUGAUUUCAUUUGUAUAGUAGUUGUUGAUCUUUUAAAGUCUUGUUUUUAACUACGAUAGUUCUUUAGUUGGGUGGGUAUUUAUUGUAUUUAUAACCCCUGAUCAUGUGUCUCAUUUUAUUGUAUUCUGCAUGGUUUUGGUUAUUCUACUGAAAUUUGUAUUUCACAAGUUAGUUUCAUUGUAUUUCACAAGUCAAAAAGACAGAACACAUGUAUGACAUCACCUAAAAGUGGAUGCUUUUAGCAACUUUAACAACAUAGUACGAGACAUUCUUUACAACUGAAGAAACAUGAGUACUAUUUUUUAAUAGAUAAUUGUUGAAGGA